UACGGGGGGAGCAAGCGUUGUUCGGAUUUACUGGGCGUAAAGGGCGCGUAGGCGGUCGUGACAAGUCACUUGUGAAAUCUCCGGGCUUAACUCGGAACGGUCAAGUGAUACUGUCGUGCUAGAGUACAGAAGGGGCAACUGGAAUUCUCGGUGUAGCGGUGAAAUGCGUAGAUAUCGAGAGGAACACCUGCGGCGAAGGCGGGUUGCUGGGCUGAUACUGACGCUGAUGCGCGAAAGCCAGGGGAGCGAACGGG
Molecule: ribosomal RNA, 254 nt
Filed under: uncultured bacterium
Lineage: Bacteria
Description: partial 16S ribosomal RNA
Rfam family: Bacterial small subunit ribosomal RNA
Source: RNAcentral